AAUGUUUGAACUCCUAGAGUAGAAAUUCAAAGCCAGCCAUCUGAGAAGCAACAGCUUGACUAUUAGAAGAAGCAACUGAUUGAAAUCUGUAUUAACAAUAUUAUACUUUGCCAUGUUGAUGUUUUUUAAGUGCCUAGAAUGGUGCCUGGCACACAAUAAGCACUCAAAGAAUAAUCAGUGGAAAGCGGAAUAAAUAAGUAUUAUCAGAAAGAUAGGCUUAUUCCUCCUGAGUCAUUUUAUGCCCAGUAAGCAAGUCAGAGAUUUACUACAUUUGGAAACAUCUUGCUGUAUAAAAAUAAAGAAGUCUCUGACAGGAUUUUAGGUACUAACAAGUAAGUGGAGAAGUUUUGGGGACACAGAUGUGCAAAGAACUUUUAACCAAAAAAGCACAUCUGUGUGUGUCCUUCUCUAUACCCCCCAAUAAGAUGAAUCAGCUUUGCCA
This 442-nucleotide long non-coding RNA is filed under the name Pan troglodytes (chimpanzee). RNAcentral describes it as "long non-coding RNA NONPTRT001091". Lineage: Eukaryota; Metazoa; Chordata; Mammalia; Primates; Hominidae. The record is from RNAcentral.